This 197-nucleotide ribosomal RNA is filed under the name uncultured bacterium. RNAcentral's name for it is "partial 16S ribosomal RNA". It matches the Rfam family "Bacterial small subunit ribosomal RNA", at positions 328 to 539 of the family's 1533-position model. The record is from RNAcentral.
ACGCUCGACACCUACGGGAGCAGCAGUGGGGAAUAUUGCACAAUGGGGGAAACCCUGAUGCAGCGACGCCGCGUGAGCGAAGAAGUAUUUCGGUAUGUAAAGCUCUAUCAGCAGGGAAGAAACUGACGGUACCUGACUAAGAAGCACCGGCUAAAUACGUGCCUGCAGCCGCGGUAAUCUGAGCGGGCUGGCAAGGC